UCAGAGUUUUAAAUCUACCAGUCACGUAGGUUCUUUUUUCUUCAAAUUAUACCCUCUCUACAUACAUACAUACACUUCACAACACUAUUUCCCACCAAUAUAAAUCUACCCCUUCCCCCCUUCUUAUGUUAUUCCAGGCUCAUCUUCCACCUUACCAAUGCUCGGAGUGCCUACUUCCACCGUAUCUUCUUCGCCACCUUAUUGGAGCAACGGCGAAGCUCCAUUCCUUCUAACAUACGUACGAAUGUCAUCACCGGCGUUAAUUUCCCGUGCCACCGUGACGGAGGAGGAGGAAGAUGUGGAGAAUUGCACAACACCCAAGUAUAGUGAUCAAGCUUUGACACCCAAUUCCAUAUGUCCACCAGCACCAAGGAAGCCAAGAACUACUACAUCAGGGAGGAAAAACUCUACUUCUUCGUCACCAAGAACAACUCGUGUAGUCGUUGAUCUCUCAUCAGUGUUUCGUACUUUCAAGAAGAAGAAGCAGAGGAAAAAGAAAAAGAAGAAAUUACACGUUCGGCUCAAUUAUUCUUCUGGUUUCUCCUAAAUUCAGUCCCAAAUUGUUAUUUCUUAUCUUCAAAUUAUAACAAGAGUAAUUCUGGACUGCCGUCAGUUUUCAAUUCUCUUCCAAACAACCCAACCCAACACAACCAUCAGGAGGGGAAGAUCCGAGGAUGAUUCUAGCAAUUCAGAAUUAUACUUCAAAUUAUUACAAUUUUAAUUUUAGAAUUUGGUGAGAAAUUAUUAUAUUUUAAGCAACGAACGAAAAAAAUCACAAGAGAAAAAAAUAAUUCAGAAUUGGCUAAAGGAAUAAAACCUGAUUUUAGUAUUCCAGUUUGUGUUGUUUUUAACGUCUUUUUUGACCGAAUUCACUGCAUUGGCCAUUCACUACCGUUCAAUUAUUCAAGUAUUUAUGUUCGAUGCUAAACAUAUUUAAAUUUGAGAAGAAAACUUUCCUUAAAAUCAAAUCAGGUUCGAGAAGAUGCUUAAAAUGGCAUCAGAUAUAUUUUGGGAGUUUGGGGUGCAAGUAAAAUCUGGGAAAACAACAACAGAGAAAAAGGUUCUGCAAUGUACUUAC
RNAcentral lists this long non-coding RNA (1078 nucleotides) under Zostera marina. RNAcentral describes it as "long non-coding RNA (ZMAR_LNC004514)". Lineage: Eukaryota; Viridiplantae; Streptophyta; Magnoliopsida; Alismatales; Zosteraceae. The record is from RNAcentral.